This 431-nucleotide ribosomal RNA is filed under the name uncultured Alphaproteobacteria bacterium. Its description in RNAcentral is "bacterial SSU rRNA". It matches the Rfam family "Bacterial small subunit ribosomal RNA", at positions 29 to 505 of the family's 1533-position model. The record is from RNAcentral. Lineage: Bacteria; Pseudomonadati; Pseudomonadota; Alphaproteobacteria.
AACGAACGCUGGCGGCAGGCCUAACACAUGCAAGUCGAACGAACCCUUCGGGGUGAGUGGCGCACGGGUGCGUAACACGUGGGAAUAUACACAUAGGUAAGGAAUAACACAGAGAAAUUUGUGCUAAUACCUUAUAAUGACUCCGGUCCAAAGAUUUAUCGCCUAUGGAUUAGCCCGCGCUAGAUUAGUUUGUUGGUGAGGUAAAAGCUCACCAAGACUACGAUCUAUAGCUGGUCUUAGAGGAUGAUCAGCCACACUGGAACUGAGACACGGUCCAGACUCCUACGGGAGGCAGCAGUGAGGAAUAUUGCGCAAUGGAGGAAACUCUGACGCAGCCAUGCCGCGUGAAUGAAGAAGGCCCUAGGGUUGUAAAAUUCUUUCAGAUGCGAAGAUAAUGACGGUAACAUCAGAAGAAGCUCCGGCUAAAUUCG